Molecule: ribosomal RNA, 301 nt
Filed under: uncultured bacterium
Lineage: Bacteria
Description: partial 16S ribosomal RNA
Rfam family: Bacterial small subunit ribosomal RNA
Source: RNAcentral
CAGUAGCCGCGGGAAUACGUAGGUGGCAAGCGUUAUCCGGAAUUAUUGGGCGUAAAGCGCGCGUAAGCGGUUUUUUAAGUCUGAUGUGAAAGCCCACGGCUCAACCGUGGAGGGUCAUUGGAAACUGGAAAACUUGAGUGCAGAAGAGGAAAAUGGAAUUCCAUGUGUAGCGGUGAAAUGCGCAGAGAUAUGGAGGAACACCAGUGGCGAAGGCGACUUUCUGGUCUGUAACUGACGCUGAUGUGCGAAAGCGUGGGGAUCAAACAGGAUUAGAUACCCCUGUAGUCCCUGUCUCUUAUAA